This 913-nucleotide long non-coding RNA is filed under the name Anas platyrhynchos platyrhynchos (common mallard). Its description in RNAcentral is "lncRNA (ENSAPLG00000018421.1)". The record is from RNAcentral. Lineage: Eukaryota; Metazoa; Chordata; Aves; Anseriformes; Anatidae.
GGAGAGAGAGGGGAGGUAGGAGGAAAAAAAUAAAAAACACCACACACCGACAAAACAAAACCAAAAAAAAAAAAAACAACAACAACAACAAAACCAAUGCAGAGUGCGCACUGCAGUCACCCGGGGGAACUGGAGUAAUAGUGAAGAAAGCUGAGCUCCUGUGUAGUAGCCAGCCACUUUUGGAGGCACUGCAGGCUGGCUCACGGCAGGAUCAUUUCAGUUGCUGGACCAGCGCCUGCCUUGCUGCCUGCCUCCCAGCUGUAUUGCUAACUGCAUUUCAUUGCAGCUUCUGUGUGCUGUUGCUGUCACACAAGCCAUGUAUGCACUCUCCCAGCAGCUGAGCGCAGGGAUGGCUCGCAUGGCUAUAAUUUUUUGCCUUGACGUCUCAGCUCAUUUGCUCCUCCUAUGGAGCGCUGGGUCACGACAGGAGCUCGACAUCCGCGGCGUGCACAGUAACCCAAACCUGCAUGACUGCAGCAGGGGAGCAGGCAGCAUCCCCGCCGUGCAGUGGGGCUGGAUACAGAGGGGAGCACGGAGGAGAAGCAAAGAGGAGAGAAGCACGGCUGCUAGCAAGUGCUGCAGUCACACAGCGCGCUGCAAAUGCUGCUGCAGGGCAGCCUGCAAGAGCAGUUGUGAAAAGCAAAUGCAGGGGGGGAAGGUGUCUGUGCAUUGGACACCGAAGCUCUGCAUUGGCAUCCAGCACUCCGAGGUGACAGAGCUGCAUGAGGGAGCUGCUCGACUGGGGACCCAGGACACUGAAGAUGCCAUCCUCUCUCCCAGCCCCACCCCACUGGGUGCUGCAGCAGAGCAGCACCGAGCUGUCACUGACCAGAUGGGUCUCCACGUGGCCAUGCUUGCAGCAGAAACACAGCUCAUUCUGGUGUACCCCACCAGGCACUGUGAGUGGCAGUAG